RNAcentral lists this ribosomal RNA (301 nucleotides) under uncultured bacterium. Its description in RNAcentral is "partial 16S ribosomal RNA". It matches the Rfam family "Bacterial small subunit ribosomal RNA", at positions 509 to 807 of the family's 1533-position model. The record is from RNAcentral.
CAGUCGCCGCGGUAAUACGAAGGGUGCAAGCGUUAAUCGGAAUUACUGGGCGUAAAGCGUGCGUAGGCGGUGAGUUAAGUCUGCUGUGAAAUCCCCGGGCUCAACCUGGGAAUGGCAGUGGAUACUGGCUCGCUAGAGUGUGUCAGAGGAUGGUGGAAUUCCCGGUGUAGCGGUGAAAUGCGUAGAGAUCGGGAGGAACAUCAGUGGCGAAGGCGGCCAUCUGGGACAACACUGACGCUGAGGCACGAAAGCGUGGGGAGCAAACAGGAUUAGAUACCCGGGUAGUCCCUGUCUCUUAUAC